GUCUGUGGUCAUACUACCCUGAAUGCUCCUGAUCUUCUCUGAACUCAGAAGCCAAGCAGGGCCGAGCCUGGUUAGUACUUGAACAGGAGAAUGCAUUCU
Molecule: ribosomal RNA, 99 nt
Filed under: Carlito syrichta (Philippine tarsier)
Lineage: Eukaryota; Metazoa; Chordata; Mammalia; Primates; Tarsiidae
Source: RNAcentral